This 492-nucleotide ribosomal RNA is filed under the name uncultured bacterium. Its description in RNAcentral is "partial 16S ribosomal RNA". It matches the Rfam family "Bacterial small subunit ribosomal RNA", at positions 29 to 507 of the family's 1533-position model. The record is from RNAcentral.
AGUGAACGCUGGCGGUAGGCCUAACACAUGCAAGUCGAACGGCAGCACAGUAAGAGCUUGCUCUUACGGGUGGCGAGUGGCGGACGGGUGAGGAAUACAUCGGAAUCUACUUUUUCGUGGGGGAUAACGUAGGGAAACUUACGCUAAUACCGCAUACGACCUACGGGUGAAAGCAGGGGAUCUUCGGACCUUGCGCGAUUGAAUGAGCCGAUGUCGGAUUAGCUAGUUGGCGGGGUAAAGGCCCACCAAGGCGACGAUCCGUAGCUGGUCUGAGAGGAUGAUCGGCCACACUGGAACUGAGACACGGUCCAGACUCCUGCGGGAGGCAGCAGUGGGGAAUAUUGGACAAUGGGCGCAAGCCUGAUCCAGCCAUACCGCGUGGGUGAAGAAGGCCUUCGGGUUGUAAAGCCCUUUUGUUGGGAAAGAACAGCAGCAGGUUAAUACCACGCUGUUCUGACGGUACCCAAAGAAUAAGCACCGGCUAACUUCGUG